Molecule: long non-coding RNA, 639 nt
Organism: Lycium barbarum (goji berry)
Lineage: Eukaryota; Viridiplantae; Streptophyta; Magnoliopsida; Solanales; Solanaceae
Exons: 3
Source: RefSeq, a predicted model, not a curated record
GUUAGGUAGGGGAUUCGCGUUUUCAAGUAGAGGAAAUGGUGAUUAUAUUAGUUCAUUUGGAGAAAAUUUAGAAAGUCUCUAAUAGAAUAGUUGCUGCAAUAUUACUUGUUAUGUGAGCAGCAACAUGUCUAUUAUUGACAAGAGGAACAACAUUUAUUAAGAGCAGCAACGCUAUGGAAUUUUGUUAUGGAUUUCGCUUAUCGCUUCAAUCUCGUUGUUCUGUUUUAUCGUGUUGCUGAUUCUGGGCUUUCUUCAAAGUGAAGUAAGGUGGAAGAAGAGUAUUUCUUUGCACAUAAGAUUUUGGGAAGCCCGAGACUUAAGUUUGGAUUAGCUUAAGAAGCGGAUAAGUCCCAUAUUGUUUUGCAGGUAAAAGUAUUCAGAUAGGAUGGUUGGCUAUCAGCUGGGAUUGGCAAACUCCAUUUUCUUCCUGGAGCAGUGCCGAGUCAUUAUGGUUAUCAUAUGUGUGUAUGGGUAUGUCGGGGCCCUGUCCCGACUUAUAUGAUUCAGGUGUUUACUCUUAGAGACUUUGCAGACAGUGUCCUGUGGUUAGUAUGUUAAGAUGUCAUGUGUUGAGUAAAACGACUAUGUAGGCCGAUAUGUCAAUUUGACUUACUCGUUUUUUGAUUAAUUGAGUAUCGU